Molecule: ribosomal RNA, 252 nt
Filed under: uncultured bacterium
Lineage: Bacteria
Description: partial 16S ribosomal RNA
Rfam family: Bacterial small subunit ribosomal RNA
Source: RNAcentral
UACGGAGGAUGCGAGCGUUAUCCGGAGUUAUUGGGUUUAAAGGGUGCGUAGGCGGGAUGCCAAGUCAGCGGUAAAAAUGCGGUGCUCAACGCCGUCGAGCCGUUGAAACUGGCGUUCUUGAGUGGGCGGGAAGUAUGCGGAAUGCGUGGUGUAGCGGUGAAAUGCAUAGAUAUCACGCAGAACUCCGAUUGCGAAGGCAGCAUACCGGCGCCCUACUGACGCUGAGGCACGAAAGCGUGGGUAUCGAACAGG